RNAcentral lists this ribosomal RNA (482 nucleotides) under uncultured bacterium. RNAcentral describes it as "partial 16S ribosomal RNA". It matches the Rfam family "Bacterial small subunit ribosomal RNA", at positions 30 to 507 of the family's 1533-position model. The record is from RNAcentral.
AUUGAACGCUGGCGGCAUGCCUAACACAUGCAAGUCGAACGGUAACGGCCCUUCGGGUGCCGACGAGUGGCGAACGGGUGGGUAAUACACCCGAACGUGCCCGAUCGUGGGGGGUAACGUGGCGAAAGCUUUGCUAAUACCGUAUACGAUCUGCGGUUGAACGCAGGGGUCCGCAAGGCCUUGCUUGGACGGUUGGGGCGAUGGCAGCCUAGGUAGUUGGUGGGAUAUAAGCUUUCCAAGGCGACGAUCUGUAGCUGGUCUGAGAGGAUGAUGAGCCACACUGGGACUGAGACACGGCCCAGACUCCUGCGGGAGGCAGCAGUCGGGAAUUUUACACAAUGGGCGCGAGCCUGAUCCAGCCAUGCCGCGUGCAGGAUGAAGGCCUUCGGGUUGGAAAGUGAUUUUGUACGGAACGAAAAGCCUUCUUUUAAUACGGGAGGGUCAUGACGGUACCGUAAGAAUAAGCACCGGCUAACUACGUG